Molecule: ribosomal RNA, 253 nt
Filed under: uncultured bacterium
Lineage: Bacteria
Description: partial 16S ribosomal RNA
Rfam family: Bacterial small subunit ribosomal RNA
Source: RNAcentral
UACGUAGGGUGCAAGCGUUGUCCGGAAUUAUUGGGCGUAAAGAGCUCGUAGGCGGUUUGUCGCGUCGAAUGUGAAAACCCGGGGCUCAACCCCGGGCCUGCAUUCGAUACGGGCAGACUAGAGUUCGGUAGGGGAGUCUGGAAUUCCUGGUGUAGCGGUGAAAUGCGCAGAUAUCAGGAGGAACACCGGUGGCGAAGGCGGGACUCUGGGCAGUAGCUGACGCUGAGGCGCGACAGCGUGGGGAGCAAACAGG